RNAcentral lists this ribosomal RNA (253 nucleotides) under uncultured bacterium. Its description in RNAcentral is "partial 16S ribosomal RNA". It matches the Rfam family "Bacterial small subunit ribosomal RNA", at positions 524 to 776 of the family's 1533-position model. The record is from RNAcentral.
UACGGAGGGGGCUAGCGUUGUUCGGAAUUACUGGGCGUAAAGCGCACGUAGGCGGCUUUGCAAGUUAGAGGUGAAAGCCCAGGGCUUAACCCUGGAAUUGCCUUUAAGACUGCAUCGCUCGAAUUGUGGAGAGGUGAGUGGAAUUCCGAGUGUAGAGGUGAAAUUCGUAGAUAUUCGGAAGAACACCAGUGGCGAAGGCGACUCACUGGACACAUAUUGACGCUGAGGUGCGAAAGCGUGGGGAGCAAACAGG